RNAcentral lists this ribosomal RNA (227 nucleotides) under uncultured bacterium. Its description in RNAcentral is "partial 16S ribosomal RNA". It matches the Rfam family "Bacterial small subunit ribosomal RNA", at positions 524 to 749 of the family's 1533-position model. The record is from RNAcentral.
GACAGAGGGUGCAAACGUUGCUCGGAAUCACUGGGCGUAAAGGGCGUGUAGGCGGGUAGAUAAGUCGGGCGUGAAAUCCCUAGGCUCAACCUAGGAACUGCACUCGAAACUGUUUAUCUUGAGUGCCGGAGAGGAAAGCGGAAUUCCUGGUGUAGAGGUGAAAUUCGUAGAUAUCAGGAGGAACACCAGUGGCGAAGGCGGCUUUCUGGACGGUAACUGACGCAUGA